CCUCUCUCUCCGUGGGAAGAACAGCGAGACCUUUUCAAAGGUUGUGGGCAGAGUCAAAGGAGAUAAUGAAACUGAAGGGGAGGCCCUGGGGAAUGGCUUCUGAUUUCCGAUGUGGAAAAAUUAAUCCGUAAGAAGUGGGUUAGCCCCGUGUAUCUCAGGAAAAGCCCAGGGAUCUAGCUGGACCCUGCAUAGAAGCUGCCAGGAGGCCUCCACACACAUUCUGAUGGGGUUCGAGAUGACCAAGUACAUCCCUGCCGACCUCUCCCACCUCUGACUGGCAGAACAUUUGAGAAAUGGCAAGCGACCCAGACAGGUGAACACAAAACCUCAGCUUAAGUCUUGGUAAGGCCAGUUAGAGAAUGAGGCUUGACCUAUGGCCACACAUGCCCCCUAAUAGGUCCCCCAAAACUCCAGAGAGAAGACAACACCCCCAGAAGUGGCCACUGGGGAUAGAACUUAGCAUCUGCUUAGCUCCAUGUACAAGGUGCCGUGCUCAGCCCUGCAGCGGUGGAUGGUGUUAUCUGGUGGGGAAGAAGACAGAUAACAGUGGCACAGAGAGGAUGGCAGACACCUUCCUAGGAGCCCGAAGCACAGGGAUUCUCUUCUGUCUACAGCAGCCAGCAGCUUCCUCCCGAGUCUACAGGAUAGAUACGGUUAGACAGCUCCCCAGAUGCCCCUGACUCUUCAAAGACAAAGACACUAUCUAAGGCCACGGGGAUAGGAAAACACCUUCACUCCACCACUUCUAUAGCACUG
RNAcentral lists this long non-coding RNA (756 nucleotides) under Pan troglodytes (chimpanzee). Its description in RNAcentral is "long non-coding RNA NONPTRT001418". Lineage: Eukaryota; Metazoa; Chordata; Mammalia; Primates; Hominidae. The record is from RNAcentral.